This 1331-nucleotide ribosomal RNA is filed under the name Staphylococcus aureus. RNAcentral describes it as "partial 23S ribosomal RNA". It matches the Rfam family "Bacterial large subunit ribosomal RNA", at positions 1 to 1334 of the family's 2925-position model. Lineage: Bacteria; Bacillati; Bacillota; Bacilli; Caryophanales; Staphylococcaceae. The record is from RNAcentral.
GAUUAAGUUAUUAAGGGCGCACGGUGGAUGCCUUGGCACUAGAAGCCGAUGAAGGACGUUACUAACGACGAUAUGCUUUGGGGAGCUGUAAGUAAGCUUUGAUCCAGAGAUUUCCGAAUGGGGAAACCCAGCAUGAGUUAUGUCAUGUUAUCGAUAUGUGAAUACAUAGCAUAUCAGAAGGCACACCCGGAGAACUGAAACAUCUUAGUACCCGGAGGAAGAGAAAGAAAAUUCGAUUCCCUUAGUAGCGGCGAGCGAAACGGGAAGAGCCCAAACCAACAAGCUUGCUUGUUGGGGUUGUAGGACACUCUAUACGGAGUUACAAAGGACGACAUUAGACGAAUCAUCUGGAAAGAUGAAUCAAAGAAGGUAAUAAUCCUGUAGUCGAAAAUGUUGUCUCUCUUGAGUGGAUCCUGAGUACGACGGAGCACGUGAAAUUCCGUCGGAAUCUGGGAGGACCAUCUCCUAAGGCUAAAUACUCUCUAGUGACCGAUAGUGAACCAGUACCGUGAGGGAAAGGUGAAAAGCACCCCGGAAGGGGAGUGAAAUAGAACCUGAAACCGUGUGCUUACAAGUAGUCAGAGCCCGUUAAUGGGUGAUGGCGUGCCUUUUGUAGAAUGAACCGGCGAGUUACGAUUUGAUGCAAGGUUAAGCAGUAAAUGUGGAGCCGUAGCGAAAGCGAGUCUGAAUAGGGCGUUUAGUAUUUGGUCGUAGACCCGAAACCAGGUGAUCUACCCUUGGUCAGGUUGAAGUUCAGGUAACACUGAAUGGAGGACCGAACCGACUUACGUUGAAAAGUGAGCGGAUGAACUGAGGGUAGCGGAGAAAUUCCAAUCGAACCUGGAGAUAGCUGGUUCUCUCCGAAAUAGCUUUAGGGCUAGCCUCAAGUGAUGAUUAUUGGAGGUAGAGCACUGUUUGGACGAGGGGCCCCUCUCGGGUUACCGAAUUCAGACAAACUCCGAAUGCCAAUUAAUUUAACUUGGGAGUCAGAACAUGGGUGAUAAGGUCCGUGUUCGAAAGGGAAACAGCCCAGACCACCAGCUAAGGUCCCAAAAUAUAUGUUAAGUGGAAAAGGAUGUGGCGUUGCCCAGACAACUAGGAUGUUGGCUUAGAAGCAGCCAUCAUUUAAAGAGUGCGUAAUAGCUCACUAGUCGAGUGACACUGCGCCGAAAAUGUACCGGGGCUAAACAUAUUACCGAAGCUGUGGAUUGUCCUUUGGACAAUGGUAGGAGAGCGUUCUAAGGGCGUUGAAGCAUGAUCGUAAGGACAUGUGGAGCGCUUAGAAGUGAGAAUGCCGGUGUGAGUAGCGAAAGACGGGUGAGAAUCCCGUC